Molecule: small nuclear RNA, 106 nt
Filed under: Castor canadensis (American beaver)
Lineage: Eukaryota; Metazoa; Chordata; Mammalia; Rodentia; Castoridae
Source: RNAcentral
GUGCUUGCUUUGGCAGCACAUAUAUUAAAUUGGAGUGAUAGAAAGAAGACUAGCAUGGCCCCUGCACAGGGAUGAUACGCAAAUUCAUGAAGGGUUCCGUUAAAAA